ACGUAGGUGGCGAGCGUUAUCCGGAUUUACUGGGCGUAAAGCGCGUGCAGGCGGGGCGAUAAGUCGUGCGUGAAAGCUCCCAGGCUUAACCGGGCGAGGACAAUGAAGACUGGUCAGCUAGAGGACGGUAGAGGGGUGUGGAAUUCCGGGUGUAGUGGUGAAAUGCGUAGAGAUCCGGAGGAACACCAGAGGCGAAGGCGGCACCCUGGACGACACCAGACGCUGAGACGCGACAGCACGGGGAGCGAACGG
RNAcentral lists this ribosomal RNA (252 nucleotides) under uncultured prokaryote. RNAcentral describes it as "partial 16S ribosomal RNA". It matches the Rfam family "Bacterial small subunit ribosomal RNA", at positions 525 to 775 of the family's 1533-position model. The record is from RNAcentral.